CAGUCGCCGCGGUAAUGCGUAGGGGGUUAGCGUUAUCCGGAUUUACUGGGCGUAAAGGGUGCGUAGGUGGUCCUUCAAGUCGGUGGUUAAAGGCUACGGCUCAACCGUAGUAAGCCGCCGAAACUGGAGGACUUGAGUGCAGGAGAGGAAAGUGGAAUUCCCAGUGUAGCGGUGAAAUGCGUAGAUAUUGGGAGGAACACCAGUAGCGAAGGCGGCUUUCUGGACUGCAACUGACACUGAGGCACGAAAGCGUGGGUAGCAAGCAGGAUUAGAUACCCCAGUAGUCCCUGUCUCUUAUACA
RNAcentral lists this ribosomal RNA (301 nucleotides) under uncultured bacterium. RNAcentral's name for it is "partial 16S ribosomal RNA". It matches the Rfam family "Bacterial small subunit ribosomal RNA", at positions 509 to 808 of the family's 1533-position model. The record is from RNAcentral.